UGGGGAAUUUUGGACAAUGGGCGAAAGCCUGAUCCAGCAAUGCCGCGUGAGUGAAGAAGGCCUUCGGGUUGUAAAGCUCUUUUGUCAGGGAAGAAACGGUGAAAGCUAAUAUCUUUUGCUAAUGACGGUACCUGAAGAAUAAGCACCGGCUAACUACGUGCCAGCAGCCGCGGUAAUACGUAGGGUGCAAGCGUUAAUCGGAAUUACUGGGCGUAAAGCGUGCGCAGGCGGGUUUGUAAGUCGGAUGUGAAAUCCCCGGGCUCAACCUGGGAAUUGCAUUGGAGACUGCAAGGCUAGAGUCUGGUAGAGGGGGGUAGAAUUCCACGUGUAGCAGUGAAAUGCGUAGAUAUGUGGAGGAACACCGAUGGCGAAGGCAGCCCCCUGGGCCAAGAUUGACGCUCAUGCACGAAAGCGUGGGGAGCAAACA
This 427-nucleotide ribosomal RNA is filed under the name uncultured prokaryote. RNAcentral describes it as "bacterial SSU rRNA". It matches the Rfam family "Bacterial small subunit ribosomal RNA", at positions 355 to 774 of the family's 1533-position model. The record is from RNAcentral.